CUUGCUCCCGGAUGUUAGCGGCGGACGGGUGAGUAACACGUGGGUAACCUGCCUGUAAGACUGGGAUAACUCCGGGAAACCGGAGCUAAUACCGGAUAGUUCCUUGAACCGCAUGGUUCAAGGAUGAAAGACGGUUUCGGCUGUCACUUACAGAUGGACCCGCGGCGCAUUAGCUAGUUGGUGAGGUAACGGCUCACCAAGGCGACGAUGCGUAGCCGACCUGAGAGGGUGAUCGGCCACACUGGGACUGAGACACGGCCCAGACUCCUACGGGAGGCAGCAGUAGGGAAUCUUCCGCAAUGGACGAAAGUCUGACGGAGCAACGCCGCGUGAGUGAUGAAGGUUUUCGGAUCGUAAAGCUCUGUUGUUAGGGAAGAACAAGUGCAAGAGUAACUGCUUGCACCUUGACGGUACCUAACCAGAAAGCCACGGCUAACUACGUGCCAGCAGCCGCGGUAAUACGUAGGUGGCAAGCGUUGUCCGGAAUUAUUGGGCGUAAAGGGCUCGCAGGCGGUUUCUUAAGUCUGAUGUGAAAGCCCCCGGCUCAACCGGGGAGGGUCAUUGGAAACUGGGAAACUUGAGUGCAGAAGAGGAGAGUGGAAUUCCACGUGUAGCGGUGAAAUGCGUAGAGAUGUGGAGGAACACCAGUGGCGAAGGCGACUCUCUGGUCUGUAACUGACGCUGAGGAGCGAAAGCGUGGGGAGCGAACAGGAUUAGAUACCCUGGUAGUCCACGCCGUAAACGAUGAGUGCUAAGUGUUAGGGGGUUUCCGCCCCUUAGUGCUGCAGCUAACGCAUUAAGCACUCCGCCUGGGGAGUACGGUCGCAAGACUGAAACUCAAAGGAAUUGACGGGGGCCCGCACAAGCGGUGGAGCAUGUGGUUUAAUUCGAAGCAACGCGAAGAACCUUACCAGGUCUUGACAUCCUCUGACAACCCUAGAGAUAGGGCUUUCCCUUCGGGGACAGAGUGACAGGUGGUGCAUGGUUGUCGUCAGCUCGUGUCGUGAGAUGUUGGGUUAAGUCCCGCAACGAGCGCAACCCUUGAUCUUAGUUGCCAGCAUUCAGUUGGGCACUCUAAGGUGACUGCCGGUGACAAACCGGAGGAAGGUGGGGAUGACGUCAAAUCAUCAUGCCCCUUAUGACCUGGGCUACACACGUGCUACAAUGGACAGAACAAAGGGCUGCGAGACCGCAAGGUUUAGCCAAUCCCACAAAUCUGUUCUCAGUUCGGAUCGCAGUCUGCAA
RNAcentral lists this ribosomal RNA (1245 nucleotides) under Bacillus sp. (in: firmicutes). Its description in RNAcentral is "bacterial SSU rRNA". It matches the Rfam family "Bacterial small subunit ribosomal RNA", at positions 79 to 1310 of the family's 1533-position model. The record is from RNAcentral. Lineage: Bacteria; Bacillati; Bacillota; Bacilli; Caryophanales; Bacillaceae.